RNAcentral lists this ribosomal RNA (194 nucleotides) under uncultured bacterium. Its description in RNAcentral is "partial 16S ribosomal RNA". It matches the Rfam family "Bacterial small subunit ribosomal RNA", at positions 339 to 525 of the family's 1533-position model. The record is from RNAcentral.
CUACGGGAGGCAGCAGUGGGGAAUAUUGCACAAUGGGCGCAAGCCUGAUGCAGCCAUGCCGCGUGUAUGAAGAAGGCCUUCGGGUUGUAAAGUACUUUCAGCGGGGAGGAAGGCGAUGCGGUUAAUAACCGCGUCGAUUGACGUUACCCGCAGAAGAAGCACCGGCUAACUCCGUGCCAGCAGCCGCGGUAAUA